Long non-coding RNA from Brassica rapa (field mustard), 7956 nucleotides. RefSeq lists it as uncharacterized. The record is from RefSeq and is a predicted model, not a curated record. NCBI's taxonomy places the organism in Eukaryota, Viridiplantae, Streptophyta, Magnoliopsida, Brassicales, Brassicaceae.
AUAUAAUAAGUGUAUAAGAGUUUUUUAUCACUUAAUGAAGAAUUUAUUUUUGAAAAUGUCUAUUUAUUGGUGGUAAAAUGAAUAAUGUUACCAAAAAAAUGGUAAACAUGAAAAUUUUCCUUGAUUUUAAAUAACUAGACAUUGGUUUCAAUUGGAAAAAUUGUUUAAAAUACAUUUGGUGAUCACUUUUCAAAAAUACACUUAAUCAAAAAACAUGUAACAUUUGAAUUUAGAAAUUAAUGAUUAUUAUUUAGGGAUUUGGAAAUUUAUUGGAUGAGAAUAUGUUUAUAAACUUCUAUAAACAUUUAUAAAUUAUUUAGGAAAGUUAAUUUAAUAUUUUUAUCACAAAUUUAAAGUAUUUAUGAAAAUAAUUAUCUUUUAAAAUUAAAUUUGAAAAUUAGUGUCAAAACUUGUGAUAAAAGUGAAAUUAUCCCUUUUAAUAAUUUUAUAUUCACUAUACUAAAAUAAAAUUUAUAUUUUUCUUCUCAAGAUUGUAUUUAGGGAGUUUGAAGUAAUUUAUACUAAAAUGACAUACUGUUAUUCAAACAUAAUUUUCUUGACAAAUACUGUUAUUCAAACAUAACUUUCUUAAGAAAAUUAAAGUCACGAACUUAUUAUUUGAUAAACAUUUUUAUAAUAUUGAAAUCUUUAAGUUCUAAAUUUUAUGAUUCUAGUCACUUUACAGUGUUUCAAGGUAAAGUUAGAAUUCUCUCAUUCUAGUUUUAAGAACUAAAAAUCACAUUCUCAUAACGUUUAAAAUUCAUUGCAGAUUUGGUAUGUCAAAUCGAAAAACAUUUCACUUUCAGAAAAGUUAGGCGACGGACAAUUCAAUUUCUCAGACGAGGAAGUUGACCACUUGGUCGACCCAGUGAAGACACUUUUCCCCAUAUGCUUAGAUUAAGAGGGGCAAGAGCCACUCCCCGAUCUUAUAAACUCAAAAACAAAAUUUAAAAACGUAAAAUUUCUUUUUACUUAGUAUUUACAAAAUAAUAUUACAGAAAUUUUGUAAUGAGAAAAAAGUAAAUAAAUAUAAAAUAUUUUUGGGGUGUUUUCUUCGAUAUAAUUUAUUAUAUAUCUAACUUAUUACAUAUAAUUAUACAUAUAUAUAUAUAUAUAUCGGAAAAAAUUUCAUGUUUACCACUUUUAUAGUACCAUUAUUCAUUUUUACCACUAUUAAAGAAACAUUUUCAAAAAUGUUUUUUCAUUAAAUGGUAAAAAAUUCUUGUACCAUUGUUUUCUAUAUAUAGUAAAUAAUUAAAAAAAAAUAAAAAUAAAUAAUUAUUAAAAAAUAAUAAUUUUUGUAAGUUUCUGAAUUAUACUUUUUUAAAUUCGAUUUUCUAUUAAAAAUUGAUUUUUUUUCAAAAUUUCUUUUUGAAAAUCAAAAAUUAUGUUUGAAACUAUUUUUAAUUUUUAUAUAUUUUAAAGUAUUUUUUUUUUUUUGGUAAAAUGUUAAGCUUACCAUUUUCUGAAGAAGGAUACAAUGUUGUUGUUGAACAACUUAUUACAAGGGAGAGAAACGAAAAGAAAGGAAACAGAGCAAUACAAAACAAACAGAAGAAGCUAAAUGAAACUAAGGCGGGAAGAGACGGGGGAUGGAAAAGUAGAGCUGCAGCAGCGAGACAGUCCCAUCAGGCGGAGGUGGAGGUAGAGAAAGGAGGCGAUCCCUCAUUGAACGAUCAACCACCUUGGCGAUUGCAGCUACGGUAGAGGAAGAAUCCCGGAAGAUACGAUGGUUCCUUUCUCUCCAGAUGCUGUAAACGAUGGCCUGCAGCAAAAGCUUUAAAACUGUCCCAGCACCCGAGCGUGAAGUGAUGCGGGGGAGAUUCAUAAUAUCAGCCACAGAAGCAAAAGCAAGUGGAGGAGUGGGAAACAUCCAACCAGCAAAGUGAGACCAAAUUGCAGUUGAGAAGGUGCAGGUAAAAAACAGAUGAUCAUGAGUUUCUGAAUCCAACGAACAGAGGGGGCACACAGGAGGAACCAGCAGACCCCAUGAGAUGAGCCUAUCUCUUGUGGGGAGUCUAGACAGGAGAGCCAUCCAAGAAACAAAGGAGUACCGGGGAAUCUCCUCUUUGAACCAGACCAUUUUAUUCCAAGAAACCAGAGGGGAGGGCUCUCUUAUAAUAUUCCAUGUAGCCUUUGAAGAAAACUUGGGAAGAAAAGAGCAAGCACCACUCCGCCAAAGGAAAGAAUCCUGGCCGCGCACAGGGGACGGUGGUUGCAUUGUAGAGAGAACCACCUGCAAGGUUUCCGCUUCAUCAGACCUAGCCGGAGGCAGGGUCCAAAGGCCAUUGGGCGCAGCUACACAGACAGAGGCGUCAAGAGGGAUCCGCAGAUCUCUCGUACCCCGAUUGCCAAACACAGAGAUUAAUGGACCAAGGUCAGUCCACCAAUCAAACCAGAAACUGACAGACCUCUCAUCACCUACAUUACAUCUCAUCAUCUUAUGUAGCUCUGGCUUGAGCUUUAACAUUUGGUUGACCGUAGAUGAGAAAGAAGUAGAAGUUGAAGCAGUCCAAAAGGUCUGACCUGUGAAGACAUUUUCUUUAAGCCAUGCAACCCAUAACGAACCAGAUUCCGAAAAAAAAUUCCAGACCCGCUUGAGUUGGAAAACAAAUUGAAACUCUUCGAGCCUUCUAAUUCCCAAUCCCCCCUCCUUCUUUGGCUUACAUAUGCUUUCCCAGCUAACUCUAGCACCCAAAUUGAAACUCUUCCAGCCUUCUAUUUUAAAGUAUUUAUUUAUAUAUUUAUUAGAAUCCUGAAUUUUACAUUCUAAAAACUUUACACCACACCUCAACUUUAAACCCUAAGUUUAUAUUAGUUAACCAUAAGGAUAUAAAUGUAUUUUACUCUUUAUUAAAAUUAAGAGUAAAAAUGAUGAGCAAAUUAGUUCAAUAUACUAAAAAAAGUGCGAUACUGUACAAUGGGGAAAAAAAUGGUAAUGAUGAAGGGAAAAAAUUGAGGGAAAAUAAGGUAUGGAGUGCAAAUAGGGUAGAUUUUGUGUGUAGAGAGUACAAAUUCUCAAAAAUGAUUAGUGUAAAUAUGAAAAAAUAAUAUUUUAAACGUGGUAUUUGUGGAAUUUUUCUACCAUUAAUUAUUAAAAAAAAUGAGGGGACACACCGCUUGUACUCCACCGGGGUGCCACCGACGCGGUAUCCACGCAGAACCGGCAAAGGGGACGUAUCUAAGAGAUUGCAAUACACAUUGUAAAAGUGGAUUUUUAACAUCGGGGAGAGUUUUGAUACGGGACACAUUAAAGAAUUCGUUAAAAGGUAAUUAACCAAUGCUUAUAUCGCGUCUACGGUACUUGUCAUGAGAAAUGAUACACAAACACAGUCCAAUUAAAGCAUGUACGUCCGAUAAGAAAGUGAACUGAGGUUACUGAGCUCUUAUGAAGACAUCAUUUGACAUUUAUCAAACGUUAAUGUAGAAAAAAACCGUUACAAAAGAUGGGUCAACAACUCAACAUGUUAUAAAUUCUACCACUGAAACACAAAUUACAUAGCGUGUUAUAGCCAUAUAUACAUCACUAUGUGAAAUGACAUGGUAUUUUAGAACCGUAAUAUCACGAUUAAAAAUCUAUGAAAAUAAUAAUAUGAAAAAUUGAAAAUAAUGAUAAGAAACGCGAAUUAAAACAAAAUUUUGAAAACAUAUUCAAAAUUAGACUAAACAAGAAACAGAAAUUUGGUAUUUCUCCUUAAUUAAAUAUAAAAACAUUUUGUAAUAUCAGAUGGUUUCUGCGGAAUUUUUGAAUUAUGAUAAAUCAUGUGAAAUUAUUUUGCAACACGUAAAAGAAAGUAUAUGAAAAAAAAAUUAGGUUCGGCCCAUGGCACAGGUAGGGUACGCCAUUACUUACGAAGCCAAAUUUUUAUUUUUUGUUUAGCUUAAGAUUUUUUUCUAUUCAUAACACUAAGAAGGUAUUAUUUUGAAUAGGAUCUUAAGUGAAUUUCACUAAAAAUGGGCAGGUACUGAAAGGAUUGCUUAUUCUGUUUUUCUGAUUUUGGGUGAUGUUAAUGAAAAAGGUGAAUGUUUUAUAUAUAUGGAAUGGUUGCUAUUUUAUUUGGAAAAUUGCCACAAAUAUCAUCUAUACUAUACUAAAAGUUAAAUAAGCUUAAUAGGGAGAGUGUCCACGUAUGCAAAAAUAUUCAGACCAAUCACACUAUUGUAUUGUGCCAUGUCAGCGUUCUUCAGUCUAACCAACAGACGAUAUUGUUUUUCUUUUUGAUGACCUUUCCGAUUUCUCAUUCUUAACAGUUUAUCUAUUUUUUUUUUCAUUAACUUCGCCCAUGAAUCCUCUUCGACUCCUCUUUCUCUGCUCUCUCUAUAUCUAGCGAUGAAAAAACCCUAUCAAUCUCCGCCGGAAAUUAAGAUCCACUGAUUAAUCAAAAAAAAAAAAAAUUAAGAUCCACUGAAUGCGGCUUGCUUUAGUCGAUCUCAGCAAAGUACGAGAAUGUCGAGAACUAUACUAAAAGUUAAAUAAGCUUAAUAGGGAGAGUGUCCACGUAUGCAAAAAUAUUCAGACCAAUCACACUAUUGUAUUGUGCCAUGUCAGCGUUCUUCAGUCUAACCAACAGACGAUAUUGUUUUUCUUUUUGAUGACCUUUCCGAUUUCUCAUUCUUAACAGUUUAUCUAUUUUUUUUCAUUAACUUCGCCCAUGAAUCCUCUUCGACUCCUCUUUCUCUGCCCUCUCUAUAUCUAGCGAUGAAAAAACCCUAUCAAUCUCCGCCGGAAAUUAAGAUCCACUGAUUAAUCAAAAAAAAAAAAAAUUAAGAUCCACUGAAUGCGGCUUGCUUUAGUCGAUCUCAGCAAAGUACGAGAAUGUCGAGAAAACUCCUUCUUGAUCAGUCUUCGGAAAUCGUUUCUCAGCAGGUAUGGUUAAUCCCUCAAAGAAGUUGGCCCUAAGAGUGAUUUGUAACAUAAAGUGUUCAUAUUUUGUUUCGUGUCGGAUGCAUGGUGAUGUUAAUUUUAUUUGGCUGUGUGUGGUGAUGCUGAUUUUGAGUUUGGCAUGAACCAACACGUAUGCCUUUCAUAUAUUCAUCUCUGCACUUCAUCAGAUUCCUUCUUUUUUUUUAUUAAUUCCAGCAACUUAGCUUCUACUACUUCCCUAAUGAUUUCAUUGUCCAUUCAAAAUAUUUAUUUGGAAAAUUGCCACAAAUAUCAUCUAUACUAUACUAAAAGUUAAAUAAGCUUAAUAGGGAGAGUGUCCACGUAUGCAAAAAUAUUCAGACCAAUCACACUAUUGUAUUGUGCCAUGUCAGCGUUCUUCAGUCUAACCAACAGACGAUAUUGUUUUUCUUUUUGAUGACCUUUCCGAUUUCUCAUUCUUAACAGUUUAUCUAUUUUUUUUCAUUAACUUCGCCCAUGAAUCCUCUUCGACUCCUCUUUCUCUGCUCUCUCUAUAUCUAGCGAUGAAAAAACCCUAUCAAUCUCCGCCGGAAAUUAAGAUCCACUGAUUAAUCAAAAAAAAAAAAAAAUUAAGAUCCACUGAAUGCGGCUUGCUUUAGUCGAUCUCAGCAAAGUACGAGAAUGUCGAGAAAACUCCUUCUGGAUCAGUCUUCGGAAAUCGUUUCUCAGCAGGUAUGGUUAAUCCCUCAAAGAAGUUGGCCCUAAGAGUGAUUUGUAACAUAAAGUGUUCAUAUUUUGUUUCGUGUCGGAUGCAUGGUGAUGUUAAUUUUAUUUGGCUGUGUGUGGUGAUGCUGAUUUUGAGUUUGGCAUGAACCAACACGUAUGCCUUUCAUAUAUUCAUCUCUGCACUUCAUCAGAUUCCUUCUUUUUUUUUAUUAAUUCCAGCAACUUAGCUUCUACUACUUCCCUAAUGAUUUCAUUGUCCAUUCAAAAUAUUUUUUCCUUUCAGCUAUGUGAUGGAUGUGGCAUGUUAUUUAGAGAAUUGUCCAGAUUUGUAUUGGAAAGAUGCAUCUGCAGCCACAAGGGUCUGACAGAUUCCAUUUACCCACAUGGAAACCAGAGCUACGUACAUAGAGGUCUCUAAAACUAAAUUAAUUAUUUCAUUGACUCAAGUUUUUCAACUUUUCUCUGAUUAUAUAUAGUGUUAUCCAGUCUCUUUUUUGCCAUCUUUCAUCACUCUCUCUCUCUCUCUGUUUUCGCAGCUUGCUCAACAAAAGGGAAAAUGCAGUUGUAAAUACAUUUCUGGUGGUAUAUUCAAGGUACUUAUUCAUCUUGACUAAGACUAAAUCUUCUCAGUGAGUUGCUCUGUUUUUAUAGAUUUGAGAAGUUCUGAUUUUUUUUUUUCAAUCUUUGUUCUUUGGCUGAAUCUAUUGUUCAGACGUUGUGUGUGAAAUGCGCUUCUUUCUCUGUUUGUAGUUUAUUUUCAUGUUUUUUUUGGGUUUAUGUAUAUAUAUACAAACAUGUAUGAGUCAGACAUUACAAAUUCUUGAUGUUUCACUUCAAGUCAGAAUCUCACUAUUGUAUUGUGGGAUAUGUUGAAUAUGACAUGGAGGCUGAUCUAGACUCCUGGUUAAGAGAUCUGUCAGUUUCAACAACAAGACUCUAGAGCCCACGAUCUUAGGAUUUUGUGGUAAAAUGGUUGUUGAGAAAUCCAUUCCCUUCAAAUGGAUGCAACCGGAGAGAAUGAUCUCGCUCUGAGUUACACAUUGUUGAGAUUUUUAGAUAAAUUUCAGUUCUUGAUCUGAGGAACCCCAAACGAAGCUGCUCUUAAGUUACAUAAAUUUUACAAAAGAUUUGGUACCAGGUGAAAGCUCGCAGGCUGUGCAGUGCUCGUCGAGCAAAGGUGUUACCUGUUAGUGUUUUGAUCUCAAAACUUCUGGUGUUAUUGUGUUGUCGUGAUCUUAUGUUGUAUGAUAAAUCCCCUUUGUUUCAAUCACAGGCAGAAACUCUUAGACUUUGGUGAGGUAAAGAUAAGUUAUAUAUCAUUCUUUGAUAUCAAGAAACAUGAAACCGUGAAUUCCAGGUGGGAUCUCGAGCUUGGACAAGAGCAGAUGAGGUUGGUAAAGGUUUGUGACCUUUGACAUCGGUAUGGACAUAACCUUCAUUUUUACUAUAAGUUGCUCCACUUCCAGAGUAGAGACCUUCUACUGGUUUGAUAUUGGCAAGGAGAAAGAAGUAAAACUUGUGAAGAAGUGUCUCGGUUGAAACUUCAACAUUAAUUAAGUACCUUGGUCUGGUUAGUAUCUAUUUCUUUUUGUUGACAUGAUUAUGCUUUGUGUAUAUGGAAAGGCAAGCUUCUGAGGUUUUUCUGAAAGACGGGAAAUUCUUUUACAAGAACAGUGGAGAUAUGCUUCAAACUUCUUCUAUGAAAGAUAGUGAUCCACAAAAAUUUUGGUGCUCAGCACAUCAAAAGUGUUAUAUGUUCGGAAGAAGGGGAAGUUUUAACAGUUAAGCUUCUUAGCUGGAGGAGCUAAUGUUGCUGCAUGAAGAAUUGUUGUUUAAAAUGGUGUUCUUACGGCUGUUUGGCCAUUGUCCAUGCUUGGUAGCAAUUUUUAAUUUUAGUAUAGUAGAUCAUAUAAAAAUAUAGAUUGAAAUUAACUGUGUUGUGAGUAUUGUUUUAUAGCUAAUAAGAAAACUGUGAAAAUUUAAUUUCAAAAAGCUUCAGAAAUAAAUGAGUAUUACAGAAGUUUUUAAAGUAAUAUAUAAGAAAAGUUCACAAUAUCUUAUGCAAAAUAUUUUGUUGAGAAUAUUUUUUAAGAAGUCACGAAAAGAUUAAUUUGAAAUUUAUUAAAAUACAAAUUAACAAUAAAACUAUGUAUUUAUAAUAUAUAAUAUAAAAUCUGGUGUGUGGCAUCGAGAAAAAAAUCAUAAUCAGAUAAAUAAGUAUUUAGAUUAAACACAAAUAAGUGUUUGAGAACUUUAAACUAAUUUUCAAUCACUUAAAUUCAACAAAAACUAUUUUUUAAAAAAAUUAACCAUUAUCUAAAUAUUCCAAUAUAAAUAUUUUUGUCUGAAGGGGUUAAUUACUCAAAACUCAACUCUAAACCCUAAAC